This is a long non-coding RNA of Acinonyx jubatus (cheetah), 608 nucleotides long. RefSeq lists it as uncharacterized. NCBI's taxonomy places the organism in Eukaryota, Metazoa, Chordata, Mammalia, Carnivora, Felidae. The record is from RefSeq and is a predicted model, not a curated record. The transcript has 3 exons.
UCCUCCAUUUCUAGCUAAUGAAUUGCAGUCAAAACUUCUCAGACCUAGUCCCCAGUUUGCCUCAUCCUGAAGUUCCAGAUUGGUUCCUGUCACUGAAAUCUGCAAUGAGGAAAAGCAUUACAGAAUCACAACUUUUCAAGCUAUAGUGAUUGAAUUGUGAUUAACUUGAUUCACUAAACAUCGAUUCAUCUCUUCUUAGAUAUCUAAAGUCAUACACUAAUUGGCAGAACCCCGGAAUCUAGUGGGCAAAGAAACCUGUGAUGUAGGCCAAGUGGAAGAGUCUCCAAGGACAUUGAAAAAGAUGAUAAUGGUAGGAAUUGGAUCCAGAGAAUGAAUGAAUGAAUGAAUGAAUAAACGGUUACACAUGUAUAAUAUUAUAUAUAGUGUUAUACACAUUUACAUAUAAUGUAUAUAGGUAUAUAUUUUUAACUAUGUUAAUAUAACUGUAUAUCUAUAUCUAUAUUUAUAUAUGUAUCAUCUAUAUCUAGCUCAGUUCUACCACUAAAGCAAGGUUACCUCUUGUUAACUCAUUUUCUCCUGCAAAGUAGAAAUAUGUCUCCUUGUGACUCUCACAUUUGUUCAAAUUCUUAUUCUUAACUCUCCAGAGC